UGGGGAAUAUUGCACAAUGGGCGCAAGCCUGAUGCAGCCAUGCCGCGUGUAUGAAGAAGGCCUUCGGGUUGUAAAGUACCUUCAGUCGGGAGGAAGGUGUCAAGGUUAAUAACCUUGGCAAUUGACGUUACCGACAGAAGAAGCACCGGCUAACUCCGUGCCAGCAGCCGCGGUAAUACGGAGGGUGCAAGCGUUAAUCGGAAUUACUGGGCGUAAAGCGCACGCAGGCGGUUGAUUGAGUCAGAUGUGAAAUCCCCGGGCUUAACCCGGGAAUUGCAUCUGAUACUGGUCAGCUAGAGUCUUGUAGAGGGGGGUAGAAUUCCAUGUGUAGCGGUGAAAUGCGUAGAGAUGUGGAGGAAUACCGGUGGCGAAGGCGGCCCCCUGGACAAAGACUGACGCUCAGGUGCGAAAGCGUGGGGAGCAAACAGG
Molecule: ribosomal RNA, 429 nt
Filed under: Chloroflexota bacterium
Lineage: Bacteria; Bacillati; Chloroflexota
Description: Chloroflexi bacterium partial 16S ribosomal RNA
Rfam family: Bacterial small subunit ribosomal RNA
Source: RNAcentral